Long non-coding RNA from Eubalaena glacialis (North Atlantic right whale), 601 nucleotides. RefSeq lists it as uncharacterized. The record is from RefSeq and is a predicted model, not a curated record. Lineage: Eukaryota; Metazoa; Chordata; Mammalia; Artiodactyla; Balaenidae. The transcript has 3 exons.
GCUUGUCUUGAGUUGCUUCGAGCUGUUCUGCACCCUGCACAUGUCGCCAGGAACGAGACUCGCUCCUUGCUCUACUGAGGGCUUGGUUCAGCAUCCCCCAGGUGGAAAAGGAGGGGCACCGUCCUCACAAGGACCUCACCUACCUGUGUGUCAUCCUCCAUUUCUCGGCUGAGCCAAAGCCUCCAAGGACCUUCUUGGGGCUCCGGUGAACAUCUGUCCUGCUUCCAUCCCCACCCACCUGGCAUGGAGCUGAGGCUACAGGACUCCUGUCUCCACCACUGUUGUGAAUCAGAAGUCAGGGAGCAGCACCAGCCCCUGACCACACCUUCACGUUUUGAGACUGUGUCGAAGCCUCUGGCCACGUGUGGAAGGACCUGAGGGCCGAAGGCGUAGCUUCAUCCCGCACCGGACAGCAACCAGCUGGCUCAUCUCCACGCACCAUCAGGGCUGUGCCUCCAACAUGCUUUAUGAUCCUGCUUUUGUAAAUCCGGUAGAGGCUGCACCCCUGGGUGCUGCUGUGAGGUGGCAAGGGGCUGUCCACCUACAGAAAACCCAGGUGAUUGCUUCUGAUCACAAAUAUUCUAUACUUUGCCCAGUUCGU